RNAcentral lists this ribosomal RNA (372 nucleotides) under uncultured organism. Its description in RNAcentral is "bacterial SSU rRNA". It matches the Rfam family "Bacterial small subunit ribosomal RNA", at positions 526 to 896 of the family's 1533-position model. The record is from RNAcentral.
CGAAGGUGGCAAGCGUUACUCGGAAUUACUAGGCGUAAAGGGCAGGUAGGUGGUGUGGAAAGUCUGUUGUGUAAGCUCCCGGCUUAACCGGGAGAGGUCAACAGAAACUACCAUGCUGGAGUAUAGGAGAGGGUACUGGAAUUCCCGGUGUAGCGGUGAAAUGCGCAGAGAUCGGGAGGAACACCAAUGGCGAAAGCAGGUACCUGGACUAUUACUGACACUGAGCUGCGAAAGCUAGGGGAGCAAACAGGAUUAGAUACCCUGGUAGUCCUAGCCGUAAACGAUGCACAUUAGUCGUGAGGGGUAUCGACCCCCUUCGUGACGACGCAAACGCAUUAAAUGUGCCGCCUGGGGAGUACGGCCGCAAGGUUG